UGCCACCAGCCCGCCUGCCCCAG
RNAcentral lists this unclassified non-coding RNA (23 nucleotides) under Mus musculus (house mouse). RNAcentral's name for it is "oocyte_clustered_small_RNA6513". Lineage: Eukaryota; Metazoa; Chordata; Mammalia; Rodentia; Muridae. The record is from RNAcentral.